CCUACGGGUGGCAGCAGUGGGGAAUAUUGGACAAUGGGCGCAAGCCUGAUCCAGCAAUGCCGCGUGUGUGAAGAAGGCCUUCGGGUUGUAAAGCACUUUCAGUAGGGAAGAAAAGCAUGGCUCUAAUACAGCUCUGUGCUGACGUUACCUACAGAAGAAGCACCGGCUAACUCCGUGCCAGCAGCCGCGGUAAUACGGAGGGGGCUAGCGUUGUUCGGAAUUACUGGGCGUAAAGCGCUCGUAGGCGGAUUGGUCAGUCAGAGGUGAAAGCCCAGGGCUCAACCUUGGAAUUGCCUUUGAUACUGCCAGUCUUGAGUUCGGGAGAGGUGAGCGGAAUUCCGAGUGUAGAGGUGAAAUUCGUAGAUAUUCGGAGGAACACCAGAGGCGAAGGCGGCUCACUGGACCGAUACUGACGCUGAGGAGCGAAAGCGUGGGGAGCA
This 440-nucleotide ribosomal RNA is filed under the name uncultured bacterium. RNAcentral's name for it is "bacterial SSU rRNA". It matches the Rfam family "Bacterial small subunit ribosomal RNA", at positions 338 to 770 of the family's 1533-position model. The record is from RNAcentral.